Notothenia coriiceps (black rockcod) is the source of this 222-nucleotide long non-coding RNA. RefSeq lists it as uncharacterized. The record is from RefSeq and is a predicted model, not a curated record. The transcript is spliced from 3 exons. Lineage: Eukaryota; Metazoa; Chordata; Actinopteri; Perciformes; Nototheniidae.
GUCCUGCUGCUGUCCAUACAGAACCCCCUGUACCCCAUCACCACGGAUGUUCUGUACACAGUGUGUAACCCCAUCGGUAGUGUGCUGAGGAUCGUCAUCUUUAAACGAAAUGGAAUCCAGGCCAUGGUGGAGUUUGAGUCAGUUCAGUGUGCUCAGAAGGCCAAAGCUGCUCUGAAUGGAGCUGACAUCUAUGCUGGCUGCUGUACUCUCAAGAUUGAAUAU